GCCUGUCUACACUCGCUGCUUUCCUUCCUCACCUCCAAUUUCCCCUCCAACCCACUGCUUCCUGACUCGCUCUUCUCCAUCGAACGGCUCUCGCUCAGGUUCCACGAGCUGCCCAUCUCCACAGAAGAGCAGCUGGCAUUGCCCACCGGCCAUGCCGGCUGAAGAAAAGAAGUCUGAGGACCCCAGGACGCCCAGCGCGAGGACCCCAGGAAGCCCAGCGCGAGGACCCCACCCACGACGCCCAGCGCGAGGACCUCACGCACAACCCUCCUGGAUUAGGCCAAAGCCAUCAUCUGGAAUCCUGCGUGGGACCCUGGACACACGGACACAGACACCUGCCCCCAGGACCCUCCAACUGUAAAUCCCUCCACAGCCACGGGGACGCCUUGCACAUUUCCUGUGGGACAUGCUGGACCCAAGACUCUGGACCCUGGCCUCCCCUUGAGUAGAGAGACCCACCUACUGACUGAUGAACUGUGCUGACCCUGGGGUCAGGCAUGUGGCCUUGAUCCCUACCCAUGGACCCUGAGACUUGGGGCGGGGGUGGGGGGAAAGGCUGUUGAGUCUUCACUGUUGAGUCCACAUCUGUGAAAUGGGCUCAGAUUCCUACCUCACAGGGCUGUUGUGAGGCAGCCGCGAUGUGCUUAGAAGCAUGGGGCCUGGUGGCUCAUGGUGCUUUCAAUAAAUUUCUUGUCUUAAC
This 700-nucleotide long non-coding RNA is filed under the name Mus caroli (Ryukyu mouse). Its description in RNAcentral is "lncRNA (MGP_CAROLIEiJ_G0004912.1)". Lineage: Eukaryota; Metazoa; Chordata; Mammalia; Rodentia; Muridae. The record is from RNAcentral.